This 2893-nucleotide ribosomal RNA is filed under the name Pseudomonas syringae pv. actinidiae. RNAcentral's name for it is "23S ribosomal RNA". It matches the Rfam family "Bacterial large subunit ribosomal RNA". Lineage: Bacteria; Pseudomonadati; Pseudomonadota; Gammaproteobacteria; Pseudomonadales; Pseudomonadaceae. The record is from RNAcentral.
GGUCAAGUGAAGAAGCGCAUACGGUGGAUGCCUUGGCAGUCAGAGGCGAUGAAAGACGUGGUAGCCUGCGAAAAGCUUCGGGGAGUCGGCAAACAGACUGUGAUCCGGAGAUGUCUGAAUGGGGGAACCCAGCCAUCACAAGAUGGUUAUCUUACACUGAAUACAUAGGUGUAAGAGGCGAACCAGGGGAACUGAAACAUCUAAGUACCCUGAGGAAAAGAAAUCAACCGAGAUUCCCUUAGUAGUGGCGAGCGAACGGGGACCAGCCCUUAAGUUGUAUUGAGAUUAGCGGAACGCUCUGGAAAGUGCGGCCAUAGUGGGUGAUAGCCCUGUACGCGAAAAUCCCUUUGCAAUGAAAUCGAGUAGGACGGGGCACGAGAAACCUUGUCUGAAUAUGGGGGGACCAUCCUCCAAGGCUAAAUACUACUGACUGACCGAUAGUGAACCAGUACCGUGAGGGAAAGGCGAAAAGAACCGCGGAGAGCGGAGUGAAAUAGAUCCUGAAACCGUAUGCGUACAAGCAGUGGGAGCCCACUUUGUUGGGUGACUGCGUACCUUUUGUAUAAUGGGUCAGCGACUUAUUUUCAGUGGCGAGCUUAACCGAAUAGGGGAGGCGUAGCGAAAGCGAGUCUUAAUAGGGCGUCUAGUCGCUGGGAAUAGACCCGAAACCGGGCGAUCUAUCCAUGGGCAGGUUGAAGGUUGGGUAACACUAACUGGAGGACCGAACCGACUACCGUUGAAAAGUUAGCGGAUGACCUGUGGAUCGGAGUGAAAGGCUAAUCAAGCUCGGAGAUAGCUGGUUCUCCUCGAAAGCUAUUUAGGUAGCGCCUCAUGUAUCACUGUAGGGGGUAGAGCACUGUUUCGGCUAGGGGGUCAUCCCGACUUACCAAACCGAUGCAAACUCCGAAUACCUACAAGUGCCGAGCAUGGGAGACACACGGCGGGUGCUAACGUCCGUCGUGAAAAGGGAAACAACCCAGACCGUCAGCUAAGGUCCCAAAGUCAUGGUUAAGUGGGAAACGAUGUGGGAAGGCUUAGACAGCUAGGAGGUUGGCUUAGAAGCAGCCACCCUUUAAAGAAAGCGUAAUAGCUCACUAGUCGAGUCGGCCUGCGCGGAAGAUGUAACGGGGCUCAAACCAUGCACCGAAGCUACGGGUAUCACCUUUGGUGAUGCGGUAGAGGAGCGUUCUGUAAGCCUGUGAAGGUGAGUUGAGAAGCUUGCUGGAGGUAUCAGAAGUGCGAAUGCUGACAUGAGUAACGACAAUGGGUGUGAAAAACACCCACGCCGAAAGACCAAGGUUUCCUGCGCAACGUUAAUCGACGCAGGGUUAGUCGGUCCCUAAGGCGAGGCUGAAAAGCGUAGUCGAUGGAAAACAGGUUAAUAUUCCUGUACUUCUGGUUAUUGCGAUGGAGGGACGGAGAAGGCUAGGCCAGCCUGGCGUUGGUAGUCCAGGUUUAAGGUGGUAGGCUGAGAUCUUAGGUAAAUCCGGGAUCUUAAGGCCGAGAGCUGAUGACGAGUGUUCUUUUAGAACAUGAAGUGGUUGAUGCCAUGCUUCCAAGAAAAGCUUCUAAGCUUCAGGUAACCAGGAACCGUACCCCAAACCGACACAGGUGGUUGGGUAGAGAAUACCAAGGCGCUUGAGAGAACUCGGGUGAAGGAACUAGGCAAAAUGGCACCGUAACUUCGGGAGAAGGUGCGCCGGUGAGGGUGAAGCAUUUACUGCGUAAGCCCACGCCGGUCGAAGAUACCAGGCCGCUGCGACUGUUUAUUAAAAACACAGCACUCUGCAAACACGAAAGUGGACGUAUAGGGUGUGACGCCUGCCCGGUGCCGGAAGGUUAAUUGAUGGGGUUAGCGCAAGCGAAGCUCUUGAUCGAAGCCCCGGUAAACGGCGGCCGUAACUAUAACGGUCCUAACGUAGCGAAAUUCCUUGUCGGGAAAGUUCCGACCUGCACGAAUGGCGUAACGAUGGCGGCGCUGUCUCCACCCGAGACUCAGUGAAAUUGAAAUCGCUGUGAAGAUGCAGUGUAUCCGCGGCUAGACGGAAAGACCCCGUGAACCUUUACUAUAGCUUUGCACUGGACUUUGAAUUUGCUUGUGUAGGAUAGGUGGGAGGCUUUGAAGCGUGGACGCCAGUCUGCGUGGAGCCAACCUUGAAAUACCACCCUGGCAACUUUGAGGUUCUAACUCAGGUCCGUUAUCCGGAUCGAGGACAGUGUAUGGUGGGUAGUUUGACUGGGGCGGUCUCCUCCUAAAGAGUAACGGAGGAGUACGAAGGUGCGCUCAGACCGGUCGGAAAUCGGUCGUAGAGUAUAAAGGCAAAAGCGCGCUUGACUGCGAGACAGACACGUCGAGCAGGUACGAAAGUAGGUCUUAGUGAUCCGGUGGUUCUGUAUGGAAGGGCCAUCGCUCAACGGAUAAAAGGUACUCCGGGGAUAACAGGCUGAUACCGCCCAAGAGUUCAUAUCGACGGCGGUGUUUGGCACCUCGAUGUCGGCUCAUCACAUCCUGGGGCUGAAGCCGGUCCCAAGGGUAUGGCUGUUCGCCAUUUAAAGUGGUACGCGAGCUGGGUUUAGAACGUCGUGAGACAGUUCGGUCCCUAUCUGCCGUGGACGUUUGAGAUUUGAGAGGGGCUGCUCCUAGUACGAGAGGACCGGAGUGGACGAACCUCUGGUGUUCCGGUUGUCACGCCAGUGGCAUUGCCGGGUAGCUAUGUUCGGAAAAGAUAACCGCUGAAAGCAUCUAAGCGGGAAACUUGCCUCAAGAUGAGAUCUCACUGGAACCUAGAGUUCCCUGAAGGGCCGUCGAAGACUACGACGUUGAUAGGUUGGGUGUGUAAGCGCUGUGAGGCGUUGAGCUAACCAAUACUAAUUGCCCGUGAGGCUUGACCAU